GAGAUGAGUUCUCCCUGAGACUUUAAGUCUCCUGAAGGAACGUUGAAGACGACGACGUUGAUAGGUCGGGUGUGUAAGCGCAGCGAUGCGUUGAGCUAACCGAUACUAAUGAACCGUGAGGCUUAACCUU
Molecule: ribosomal RNA, 130 nt
Filed under: Enterobacter hormaechei
Lineage: Bacteria; Pseudomonadati; Pseudomonadota; Gammaproteobacteria; Enterobacterales; Enterobacteriaceae
Description: partial 23S ribosomal RNA
Rfam family: Bacterial large subunit ribosomal RNA
Source: RNAcentral